This 490-nucleotide ribosomal RNA is filed under the name uncultured bacterium. RNAcentral's name for it is "bacterial SSU rRNA". It matches the Rfam family "Bacterial small subunit ribosomal RNA", at positions 43 to 524 of the family's 1533-position model. The record is from RNAcentral.
CAGGCCUAACACAUGCAAGUCGAGCGGUAGCACAGAGAGCUUGCUCUCGGGUGACGAGCGGCGGACGGGUGAGUAAUGUCUGGGAAACUGCCUGAUGGAGGGGGAUAACUACUGGAAACGGUAGCUAAUACCGCAUAACGUCGCAAGACCAAAGAGGGGGACCUUCGGGCCUCUUGCCAUCAGAUGUGCCCAGAUGGGAUUAGCUAGUAGGUGGGGUAACGGCUCACCUAGGCGACGAUCCCUAGCUGGUCUGAGAGGAUGACCAGCCACACUGGAACUGAGACACGGUCCAGACUCCUACGGGAGGCAGCAGUGGGGAAUAUUGCACAAUGGGCGCAAGCCUGAUGCAGCCAUGCCGCGUGUAUGAAGAAGGCCUUCGGGUUGUAAAGUACUUUCAGCGGGGAGGAAGGUGUUGAGGUUAAUAACCUCAGCAAUUGACGUUACCCGCAGAAGAAGCACCGGCUAACUCCGUGCCAGCAGCCGCGGUAAU